RNAcentral lists this unclassified non-coding RNA (285 nucleotides) under Hevea brasiliensis (rubber tree). The record is from RNAcentral. Lineage: Eukaryota; Viridiplantae; Streptophyta; Magnoliopsida; Malpighiales; Euphorbiaceae.
GGGCACGUGCUGGUGAACACUACCUUAGUUCUGGUAGAUUAGGUUUGUCUCAAGAUGAUAUCUCAUUACUGGGCCAAUAUAAUUGCUACCAGAAAGAUCUACCAGGGUCAGAGACUUGAUGUACAUAAUUUAGAGAUGGACCCUCCACCACCUAAUGAAAUGGGAGAGGGAGGCAAUGUAUAAUCAAUUGUUGUUUAUGGUAAUGGCCUCGGCCAGGCAGUAGUUAGUUUGCCUGAACCCGUGGACGUCAAAGAUAACGGUUAGGAAUAGGCACACUUAAUUUAC